ACGCUCGACACCUACGGGAGGUAGCAGUGGGGAAUAUUGCACAAUGGGGGAAACCCUGAUGCAGCGACGCCGCGUGAGCGAAGAAGUAUUUCGGUAUGUAAAGCUCUAUCAGCAGGGAAGAAACUGACGGUACCUGACUAAGAAGCACCGGCUAAAUACGUGCUAGCAGCCGCGGUAAUCUGAGCGGGCUGGCAAGGC
This 198-nucleotide ribosomal RNA is filed under the name uncultured bacterium. RNAcentral describes it as "partial 16S ribosomal RNA". It matches the Rfam family "Bacterial small subunit ribosomal RNA", at positions 328 to 539 of the family's 1533-position model. The record is from RNAcentral.